UAGGGAAUCUUCCGCAAUGGACGAAAGUCUGACGGAGCAACGCCGCGUGAGUGAAGAAGGAUUUCGGUUCGUAAAACUCUGUUGUUAGGGACGAAGCGUAAGUGACGGUACCUGCAGAAGAAGCACCGGCUAACUACGUGCCAGCAGCCGCGGUAAUACGUAGGGUGCGAGCGUUGUCCGGAAUUACUGGGCGUAAAGAGCUCGUAGGCGGUUUGUCACGUCGUCUGUGAAAUCCUAGGGCUUAACCCUGGACGUGCAGGCGAUACGGGCUGACUUGAGUACUACAGGGGAGACUGGAAUUUCUGGUGUAGCGGUGGAAUGCACAGAUAUCAGGAAGAACACCGAUGGCGAAGGCAGGUCUCUGGGUAGUAACUGACGCUGAGGAGCGAAAGCAUGGGUAGCGAACAGG
Molecule: ribosomal RNA, 409 nt
Filed under: Verrucomicrobiota bacterium
Lineage: Bacteria; Pseudomonadati; Verrucomicrobiota
Description: Verrucomicrobia bacterium partial 16S ribosomal RNA
Rfam family: Bacterial small subunit ribosomal RNA
Source: RNAcentral